Rhododendron vialii is the source of this 2119-nucleotide long non-coding RNA. RefSeq lists it as uncharacterized. The record is from RefSeq and is a predicted model, not a curated record. The transcript is spliced from 3 exons. NCBI's taxonomy places the organism in Eukaryota, Viridiplantae, Streptophyta, Magnoliopsida, Ericales, Ericaceae.
GUUGUGUGCUCGGUGUUGCUUUUAAUUUUCUCGAUAAUUGUUUAGCAAGUUGAUAUUAUCUUUAGUUGUACGUUUAAUAUGGAAUUGCAUCCAUGUCUCAUAAACACUCCCGGAUUUCAUUUUGGAAUCCAGUUUUGCAGGCGUUGUAGAUAUCCACUGCUAAUUGUCGUGUGGUUGUACCCUUGUUUAAGGUAGCAUGUCGGGAAGGCUGGGCGAGUUUUGGUGAAAUAUUGUAGAUAGGGUUGUAGUUGCAACAUAUGUUAAUAUCUAGUUCAUUGUAUAGUUUAAUGCUUUCUUGAGACUUCCGCUGUGUUUGUAAGAAUCAUAUGUUUUGUGUUAUCAAUAAAAUGGCUAUUGAUUAACUUAGUUGCUAGAACUUGAGUUUUAGGAAUGGGUUGGUGGAUGAUGUUGCACCCUCACGUUGGUUUGGGCUCAUUUGAAUGCUGGCCGGGGUGAGGUGUGACAGCUUGGUAUCAGAGCCUAGGCUUACCUAGAUUCUGAGAGUCGUUGAGCGAGUGACGAUUUAGCAGUGGAUUUAGGAGUCGACCAUAUUUUGUCAAGUAAUUUAGUGUUGGUUUAUCUAACAUGAUAAAAUAGUAUAUGUUGUUGCUGUUGUUAAAUUGAAUUGCAACAGGUAAGGAAAAUGGAAGAAGAAGCCUCUUCCCAUCCUAAACAAGUUGAUCCAGCUGCACCGACAAGAGUUCAGGCAGGGGGUAGAGAUAUAGAUAGACUUUUGGCAGUUUUAGCACAGUAUACUGAACGAUAAGCUGCACCUCCGGUUAAUCAUAACGUUGGAUUACUAGAGAAGUUCAAGAAGCUUUAUCCAACGGAGUUUGACAGUACUUUUAAACCUCAAGAGGCAAAGGAUUGGUUGAAAACGGUUGCGAGGGUUCUAACAACUAUGGGAGUUACUGAUGAACAGAAGGUGACCUUACAACCUUCACUUUGAAAGGGCAAGCUUUAAUAUGGUAGGAGGGAAGUCAGAGGUUGCUAUUAGCCCCAUUACCAGAUGUUCAGCCACCACUGCCACAAGUAAUUACAUGUGCAAUGUUUGUGAAGGCUUUUAAUGAUUGUUAUUGUCCUGAGAUGUAUCGUUUUCAACAGGAAGCAGAUUUUAUUAAUCUUAAAUAGGGGAGUAUGUUGGUGGCCGAAUGUGAAGCCAAGUUUAAUGCUCUUUCAGCCUAUGCUACAGAUAUGGUGGAUAUUGAAGAAAAGAAGGGUAGACGGUUCAGAAGUGGACUGGAGGAAAAUGUUCAAAUCAGAAUGACGUCUUAUAAAGAAAAAGACUAAUGCGGAGUUGAUUUAAAAGGCGAAGAAGGUUGGUAAGGAUGUUGAAGAAAUGUUUAGUAGAUGAGACCAAUCAAAGAAGAGUAAAAUCGAGGCAAAGUAGGCUAGCUAGGGGGGAAACUCAGGUGGGUUUUAUAGAGGUGGAGGAAGAUUUCAACAUUUGAAAGGUAAAAGUGAGGGUAAACAAUAAGGCAGUCAAGGCUAUGAGGCAAGUAAGCCAAGUUUUGGUAGAAGGAGUAGUUCAAGUGGACGUCGGACUCCUUUUCAGUGUUAUCGGUGUGGGUCACCUGAUCAUCGCAUGAGAGAUUGUCCAGAAUCGGGGAAAGGGUUUAAAUAUUUUAGAUGUGGAGAAAUGGGGCAUAUUGCAACUCAUUGCACGAAACCGCAAGCUUCAGGUGCAUCUUCUAGUGGCAGUGUUCCGACAGGCCGUGGAACGAGUUUUAGUGGGUUUGUUGGUCGGGGUGGUGGAGUGGGUGGACCUACAACACCGGGGAGAGUGUUUGCCAUGACACAGCAAAAUGUUCAGGCAACUCCGAAUGUGGUGACAGGUGACGAGUCGGUGUAUCAAGGAGCACCGAAACCAUAGUAGUACUUUCUUUUGGAGUACGAGUUUAGCAGGCGUUGUAGAUAUCCACUGCUAAUCAUCGUGUGGUUGUACCCUCGUUUAGGGUAGCAUGUCGGGAAGGUUGGAUGAGUUUUGGCGAAAUAUUGUAGAUAGGGUUGUAGUUGCAGCCUAUGUUAAUAUCUAGUUCAUUGUAUAGUUUAAUAUUUUCUUGAGACUUCCACUGUGUUUGUAAGAACGAUAUGUUUUGUGUUAUCAAUAAAAUGGCUG